UACGUAGGGCGCAAGCGUUGUCCGGAAUUAUUGGGCGUAAAGAGCUCGUAGGCGGCCUGUUGCGUCCGCUGUGAAAACCCGGGGCUUAACCCCGGGCUUGCAGUGGAUACGGGCAGGCUGGAGGCAGGCAGGGGAGAACGGAAUUCCCGGUGUAGCGGUGAAAUGCGCAGAUAUCGGGAGGAACACCGGUGGCGAAGGCGGUUCUCUGGGCCGAUACUGACGCUGAGGAGCGAAAGCGUGGGGAGCGAACAGG
This 253-nucleotide ribosomal RNA is filed under the name uncultured bacterium. Its description in RNAcentral is "partial 16S ribosomal RNA". It matches the Rfam family "Bacterial small subunit ribosomal RNA", at positions 524 to 776 of the family's 1533-position model. The record is from RNAcentral.